Long non-coding RNA from Candoia aspera, 354 nucleotides. RefSeq lists it as uncharacterized. The record is from RefSeq and is a predicted model, not a curated record. Lineage: Eukaryota; Metazoa; Chordata; Lepidosauria; Squamata; Candoiidae. The transcript has 3 exons.
GCGCGGGGCUCUGCCGCCUCGUCCUCCCCCCUCCGCCAGCUCAGCGUCAUCCCCCGGACUCGCUGCAGCGCUGGGACGCGGGUAACUACCCUAACUGGAGAGGACAUCAAAAUCUGCACAUUGAAUGAAAGAAUGGUGCUUCUGAUGAUUGCAAUUUGGAUUUAGAACCAGAUGGAAAAAACUGGAAGGGGACCGAGGGAUACAGAUAUACGGAUUUGAUUUUGAUUUCCUUGGAACCUCCUGAGCCUGAAAUGAUGGAGGGAUUCUGAAGAUGAAGCCAGCGAUGAGUGAGAAUGGACAAACAAGAAAACUAAAACAAAUUCUAGAAAAAUGUCACUCUGUCUUCACAGAUGA